GAUGAACGCUGGCGGCGUGCUUAACACAUGCAGGUCGAACGGAAAGGCCCAAGCUUGCUUGGGUACUCGAGUGGCGAACGGGUGAGUAACACGUGGGUGAUCUGCCCUGCACUUCGGGAUAAGCCUGGGAAACUGGGUCUAAUACCGGAUAGGACGAUGGUUUGGAUGCCAUUGUGGAAAGUUUUUUCGGUGUGGGAUGAGCUCGCGGCCUAUCAGCUUGUUGGUGGGGUAAUGGCCUACCAAGGCGUCGACGGGUAGCCGGCCUGAGAGGGUGUACGGCCACAUUGGGACUGAGAUACGGCCCAGACUCCUACGGGAGGCAGCAGUGGGGAAUAUUGCACAAUGGGCGCAAGCCUGAGGCAGCGACGCCGCGUGGGGGAUGACGGCCUUCGGGUUGUAAACUCCUUUCGCUAGGGACGAAGCGUUUUUGUGACGGUACCAGGAGAAGAAGCACCGGCUAACUACGUG
RNAcentral lists this ribosomal RNA (468 nucleotides) under uncultured bacterium. RNAcentral describes it as "partial 16S ribosomal RNA". It matches the Rfam family "Bacterial small subunit ribosomal RNA", at positions 28 to 507 of the family's 1533-position model. The record is from RNAcentral.